This 253-nucleotide ribosomal RNA is filed under the name uncultured bacterium. RNAcentral describes it as "partial 16S ribosomal RNA". It matches the Rfam family "Bacterial small subunit ribosomal RNA", at positions 524 to 776 of the family's 1533-position model. The record is from RNAcentral.
UACGCAGGGGGCUAGCGUUGCUCGGAAUCACUGGGCGUAAAGGGUGCGUAGGCGGGGCUUUAAGUCAGGGGUGAAAUCCUGGAGCUCAACUCCAGAACUGCCUUUGAUACUGAGGAGCUUGAGUACGGGAGAGGUGAGUGGAACUGCGAGUGUAGAGGUGAAAUUCGUAGAUAUUCGCAAGAACACCAGUGGCGAAGGCGGCGCACUGGCCCGUUACUGACGCUGAGGCGCGAAAGCGUGGGGAGCAAACCGG